AGUUUUCGGACAAUGGAUGUAGAGGAAAGUGGCGGACGGGUGAGUAACGCGUGAGGAACCUGCCUUGAAGAGGGGGACAACAGUUGGAAAUGACUGCUAAUACCGCAUGAUGUAUUUGGAAGGCAUCUUCUGAAUACCAAAGAUUUAUCGCUUCAAGAUGGCCUCGCGUCUGAUUAGCUGGUUGGCGGGGUAACGGCCCACCAAGGCGACGAUCAGUAGCCGGACUGAGAGGUUGACCGGCCACAUUGGGACUGAGAUACGGCCCAGACUCC
This 272-nucleotide ribosomal RNA is filed under the name uncultured Oscillibacter sp. Its description in RNAcentral is "partial 16S ribosomal RNA". It matches the Rfam family "Bacterial small subunit ribosomal RNA", at positions 75 to 339 of the family's 1533-position model. Lineage: Bacteria; Bacillati; Bacillota; Clostridia; Eubacteriales; Oscillospiraceae. The record is from RNAcentral.